This 348-nucleotide long non-coding RNA is filed under the name Homo sapiens (human). RNAcentral describes it as "HSALNT0052449". Lineage: Eukaryota; Metazoa; Chordata; Mammalia; Primates; Hominidae. The record is from RNAcentral.
GCCAGGCUUGACUAGCCACCUCUGGGAUCGACUGAGGGAAAGGCAGACUUGAAUUACUCAGAGAAUAAGCCAGUGGUUCUGUUUUAAUGCUCUGAGUCAGCAGCCUUUUAUAGCUCAAAUCAAGGUCAACAAGAUAUGUAGAGCACCUUCUCUGAGCACUAGCUGGAACACGGCGGCUCUUCUUUCUUCCACUCUGAGACAAGAACACAUGCGCUUUUCCUGUAAGUGUUGUCUCCCCAGUUAUUCUGGAGACCAUCCAGAAGAGAAUGAGAAUAAAGAAACCAACAGAAGAAAGAUAAAGAAGGAAGAAUAAAAGAUACCAAAAUGACAGUUAUCGCUUGCUUCGGA